Molecule: ribosomal RNA, 429 nt
Filed under: Chloroflexota bacterium
Lineage: Bacteria; Bacillati; Chloroflexota
Description: Chloroflexi bacterium partial 16S ribosomal RNA
Rfam family: Bacterial small subunit ribosomal RNA
Source: RNAcentral
UGGGGAAUAUUGCACAAUGGGCGCAAGCCUGAUGCAGCCAUGCCGCGUGUAUGAAGAAGGCCUUCGGGUUGUAAAGUACUUUCAGCGGGGAGGAAGGGAGUAAAGUUAAUACCUUUGCUCAUUGACGUUACCCGCAGAAGAAGCACCGGCUAACUCCGUGCCAGCAGCCGCGGUAAUACGGAGGGUGCAAGCGUUAAUCGGAAUUACUGGGCGUAAAGCGCACGCAGGCGGUUUGUUAAGUCAGAUGUGAAAUCCCCGGGCUCAACCUGGGAACUGCAUCUGAUACUGGCAAGCUUGAGUCUCGUAGAGGGGGGUAGAAAUCCAGGUGUAGCGGUGAAAUGCGUAGAGAUCUGGAGGAAAACCGGUGGCGAAGGCGGCCCCCUGGACGAAGACUGACGCUCAGGUGCGAAAGCGUGGGGAGCAAACAGG